Molecule: unclassified non-coding RNA, 220 nt
Filed under: uncultured Thelephoraceae
Lineage: Eukaryota; Fungi; Basidiomycota; Agaricomycetes; Thelephorales; Thelephoraceae
Description: sequence contains ITS2
Source: RNAcentral
ACACCUCAACUCCUCAUGGUCUUCUAUGAUGAGCUUGGACUUUGGGGGCUUGCUGGCCCAUUUGGUCAGCUCCUCUCAAAUGAAUCAGCCUACCAGUGUUUGGUGGCACCACAGGUGUGAUAACAAUCUACGCUUGAGGUUUUCCACCAGGCAACCUUCAGUAAUUGGGGUUCACUGGGGCUCACAAAUGUCUUUCUUCAGUGAGGACAGAUCUUUGAUU